UACCAAAAAAUAAUCCGUUAG
This 21-nucleotide non-coding RNA is filed under the name Caenorhabditis elegans. The record is from RNAcentral. Lineage: Eukaryota; Metazoa; Nematoda; Chromadorea; Rhabditida; Rhabditidae.